GCCAGCAUGGCACAGUGGUUUGAGUGUUGGACUAUGACUCUGGAAGACCAGAGUUCAAAUCCCCACUCUGCCA
This 73-nucleotide transfer RNA is filed under the name Phrynosoma platyrhinos (Desert horned lizard). RNAcentral describes it as "tRNA-OTHER". The record is from RNAcentral. Lineage: Eukaryota; Metazoa; Chordata; Lepidosauria; Squamata; Phrynosomatidae.